GAAAUGCGAUAAGUAGUGUGAAUUGCAGAAUUCAGUGAAUCAUCGAAUCUUUGAACGCACUUUGCGCCCCUCGGUAUUCCGUGGGGCAUGCCUGUUCGAGUGUCAUCUACACCCUCAAGCUCUGCUUGGUGUUGGGCGUCUGUCCCGCCUCCUUCGCGCGCGGACUCGCCCCAAAUCCAUUGGCGGCGGCCCUUGCCUCCCUCUCGCGCAGCACAUUGCGCUUCUCGAGGCGCGGCGGACCGCGUCCAGCAAGCAACCGUCACACCGUCUUUGACCUCGGAUCAGGUAGGGAUACCCGCUGAACUUAAGC
RNAcentral lists this unclassified non-coding RNA (310 nucleotides) under plant metagenome. RNAcentral describes it as "partial contains 5.8S ribosomal RNA, internal transcribed spacer 2, and large subunit ribosomal RNA". The stretch from base 1 to 105 matches the Rfam family "5.8S ribosomal RNA", at positions 50 to 154 of the family's 154-position model. The record is from RNAcentral.